Molecule: long non-coding RNA, 13425 nt
Filed under: Nicotiana tabacum (common tobacco)
Lineage: Eukaryota; Viridiplantae; Streptophyta; Magnoliopsida; Solanales; Solanaceae
Description: long non-coding RNA (NTAB_LNC002331)
Source: RNAcentral
UAGUGAGAGAAACCCCGCUCGACCUUGAUAUACCCAUGGUACAGAGAAUGCGGUAACACUCAUCUAGAAAUCCCAGAGUAUCAUACGAUGCUAGACCACUGAAUACAGGAGGCUUGUACUUCUUAAACCUCUCAAGCCUCAGCUGCUCAUCCUCGGAAACCGUUGCCCUGUCCUCGGGCUGAUCUCGGACUGCAGGCGGUACAGAAAUAUUCUUGGGGACUUGCUCAACAUGUACUCGCUACUCAAGAGUGCAGGCGGCGGGAGUCUGUGCUCCUCCCCCGGCCUAAGAUGUAGUUGCAGCAAGGGGAAGCAACCCUACCUGAGCCAAAGUGGUGUACAUGCUCAUGAACUGUGCCAGAGUCUCCUGAAGUGCUGGAGUAGUAGUAGCAGUAGGCGUAUCUGGUGUCGGGACUCUAGUUAGAACUGCUGGUUCUACCUCGGUGGCAGCUCGUAUAGGUACUCUGGAUGCACCACGUGUGCGUGCUCGACCUAUACCUCGACCCCGGCCUCUAACGGCUGCAGUAGGGGGCGCGGGUGCCUGAUCAUCUCGGGUAGCGCGUGUCUUCACCAUCUGUGAGAGAAUAGAAGACAAAAGUUUAGAAUUGUGAUGUCAAAAUCUCGCAUGACAAGGAAAUCAAAUGUAGUCGAAUUUUCCUAAUAGUUACAUAGCCUCUCAUAGAUAAGUACAGGUGUCUCUGUACCGAUCAGCGAGACUCUAAUACGGCUUGUGAUUUAUGACUCCUAUGAACCUAGAGCUCUGAUACCAACUUGUCACGACCCCCAGUUCUCCCUCAGUGAACCAUCGUGAUGGCACCUAAUCUCUACGACUAGGUAAGCCUAACAAUGCGGAAAAUAAACCAAUUUGCGGAAGAAAUAAUUAAAACCGAAGUAGUGAAAUAAAACAGUAAUUUAAAGUGUUGCUUGGAAUACACAAUAUCAACUCUCGAAAGCUAAAUACAUUUCCUAAAACCCAGAAUCUCAUGAUCACAAGCCUUUGAAAGUAUACAAACGUCUAACUCCAUAAUAUCUAACAAAGACACAAAGUACGGAAGGGCUAAUACAAAAGGGACAGUACAAAGGGACUCUUCGGUCUGCGGACGCGGCAGAUAUACCUCGGAGUUUCUAUGAAUGCCUCAUAUCAAGCGUGAUAAGUCUGAGUGGGGGUACCUGGAUCCCAAUGAAUUCCUCUAAAAUCUCUCUUGAAAAUGCUCCCCAAGGCUUCUUCCCGUUUGAAAAGAGGUGAAAAUAGCUCAAAUUCGCGAAUGCAAGAAUUUAUAUGUUUCUGCCCAGCUAAUUCGCUUUUGCGGCAAUGCACUGCACCUGCGGUCCCGCUUCUGCGAAUCCAAGGUCGCAUCUGCGACUUCUCAUUAACUCAACAUUUCCACUUCUGCGACAUGCUCCCCGGACCUACGACCUCGCAGGUGUAGCCUACCUCCGCAUCUACGGAUCCAGCCCAUCUUCCUCUUGGCCGCAUCUUCGACUUCCCUUAUCACUUCUGCGGGCUCGCACCUACGGCCCCCAAGCCGCAGAUGCGGUUAUGAUAGCAGAUUUGAAACUUCAGUUGCAACCUCUCAACUCCAAACUUCCCGUUAACCACCCGAAAUCAUCCCGAGGCCCCCGGUACCUCAACCAAAAACACGAACAACUUAUAUAGCAUUAUCCAAACUUAUACCAAUCCUUAGAACACCUAAAACAACAUCAAAAUGAAAUCAACCACGGAUUCAAGCCUAAGAACUCCAAAACUCUAAAUUUCCGCUUUCGAUCAAAAACAGUCUAUCAAACCUCGUCCGAAUGACUUAAAAUUUUGCACACACGUCACAUUCAACAUUACGCAGCUACUCCAACUUCCGAAAUUACAUUCCGACCCUCAAAUCAAAAUCUCACUGUCGAACCAGAAACUUCAAAAUUCGACUUCUCGACAUUUCAAGGCUAAAUUAGCUAUGAACCUCCAAUACACAAUCCGAACACGUCCCUAAGCCCGAAAUCACCCAACGAAGCUAACGGAACCAUCAGAAUUCCAUUCCGAGGCCAUCUUCACAUUGUUCUGACUACAGUCAAAUUUUUCCAAACUUAAGCUCUCAAUUAGGGACUAAGUGUCCCAAAACUCUCCGAAACUCAAAACUGAACAUCCCGGCAAAUCAAAAUAGCAAAAAUAGAUACGGGGAAAGUAGUUAAUAGGGGAUCUGGGCGUAAAUCCUCAAGAUGACCAGCCGGGUCGUCACAUGUCCCGUUACCCGGUAAUUAACCAAUUACCCAAAAAAUUAAGAAUUUUCUCAAAUUACUUAAAAUUCUAUACAUUUUUAACAUACUUUAUCCAUCAUACUAUCAUGGUCCUAUGGUACCUUAUAAGGCGCUAGCCCAUAAAUAUCGGCUAUUAUAACUCGGACCGUAUUUUAUCCCAAAUUGACAACCUUCAACGAAACUCAUUUUCUUUAAUUCGUGUACCCUUUAUCCUCCAUGGCACUUAUUUAUCACUUGUUGUAAAUAGCAUAAGUAUGCUAACCUCGGGAUAAUCUCAUUUCCAAGAUUUUAUCAAUUUACUUAUGGUGCAUUUCUAUGUACGAAAAUGUGGGGUAUAACAGCCUUGAGGUGGGAUUUUUGGUCGUGAUAUUUGCCAAGCUCAUCACUGCUUUUAGCCCAAGUUCAGGCUUACUACAUAUUUAGUAUAUGGGGUAGGUUUUACUCAUACUACACUCUACACUUCAUGUGCAGAUCUAGGUGCUGCUAAUAGCGGUGGUGGCCAGUGAGCUGUAUCCGAUUUUGCUUGGAGAUCUCAAGGUAGCAUUACAUGUGUUAUUCAUAUGCCUUAAAGUCCCCUAUUUUAUCUUAUGUUCUUACUAUUAAGUUUUCUAGAUAAUAUUAUAUUUUAUUCAGACCUUGUAUUCCGUAUUCUAUAUAUCUCAUGCACUCAGUGAUACCAGAUUUAGGGUGGAUUCACUUGUAUUGACAUUUUUACUUCAGUUAUUUGUACCAUUCCGUUUUUUAGACAAUUUCUUUCACGACCCAGCCUAGGGCCGAGACGAAUAACGACACUAAGUGCCGAUCACCACUAAACCUGGUAUAAUCUACUAAGAAGGAAUAUAAACUGAUAAACCGAACAAGCAUAAGCAUAGCUGAUAAGAACAAUACAAUCUAAAAAGCCGACAAUGCUAAUAGAAGCAAACAUAUAAAAACAAACUAACUGCACAGGUGCAUCUCUACAUGCCUCUAGGAGUGCUGAAGUGAAAAAGUACUAGACGGAAUAGGGUCUUGCCAUACCCAAACUACUGACUGUACACAUGCCAAAAUCUAAGUAACUCGGGGACUAAGCGGAGUGACUCUAACAACUGGUGGAUGGUCUACUGAUAUGGCUCAAGUGCUAAUCUAUCUAUACCUGCAUGGCAUGAAACUCAAUGGACCGAAAGGGACGUGAGUACGAUAUGUACUAAGUAUGUAGGGUGGAAAGCAUACUAAAGUAUGACUGUAAGUUGGAAAUUUGAAUAUAAGCUAAAAGCUAAACAAAAUCUGAACUAGGAACUAAUCUGGAACUAAACCAAAGUUUAAGCAGAAACUAUGUUGAAAUUGAACUACUAUCUGAAUUGGUACAUGUCUGCGUUAUGAGCUAUAUCCCUCCGAUCAUGUAACUAUACAUCUAAACUAGCCUCAUUUAUAGUCAUGCAAUACAAACUGUAUCUAUUUACGCAUAUAUAACAUGCCUUACUAAUGUUAUGAGUUAUAUCCCCUAGUAGGUAAAUAUAUAAUCAAUAGGUCUGGCUGGUGUUAUGGGUUAUCUCCCCCCAACAUACAGUCAAUAGGACUCCAUGGAGUUAUGGGCUAUAUCACCCUUGCGUAAUCAAUGUAAGCAUGUAUGAGGCAAAACAUAUGUGGCAACAUCAUAUGGACUCAAGAUAUCACGAAGGAAACCAUAAAAAGAAUCACAAACGUAAUCUGACGCUCGUCGUCCAUAAGUUGGAUGGAGGAGCAUAUCCCCAUUUUAAGGAGAAACUGAGUAUUUACAUGAGAUACUAAGGCUAAUUAACUCAUUAGGAUCCCUCUAGAAUCUAAUUAAAAAAAUUCCAACUCUUUGAAUUUCCAAAAUUUUGGUAGAGUUUCCCCUAAAACUGGAUGAUAAAAAAACAGCAAGCACCAUAAUAUACACGAGAAUGGAUACCUAUCCAAGUUGAUAGCAUCAAUCUAAAGGGGAUUCACUUCUCCACAAUAGUGUAAAAUGAUCGACAAAACAGAAUUAUGAACGUAAUGUCAGCUUAUAAUGACUAACUUGUGACAUGAAAGUCUAAAUACGAUUUAGAAAUAAUCUAAGAAUAAAUACAUGAUAAUUAAGUUUAUAUAAUCUUAAAUGAAGCUAUUAGUAUCAUAUGGGGGCUAGGUAUACGUGAAAACAUCAAAGUAACGAAAUAAACAGAAGUCCAGAAGGCAUAGGCCAAAUGGGCGAUUCGCUGUUUUUUGUUUUUGUGGUGUUUUGAGGUUCCAACCUAAACUAGUUUCUUACAUAAUUCAAAUAUGGAAUUGAAUAUUAUACAACACAUGCUUAAAUUUCCCUUAAACAACUCUUAAAAGAUCAAGAAGAAAGGCUAGAACAUAGUUAAAUCAAAUCAUGCCAAAAACGAAGUGAAAACCCUACAUACCUCUUGUGUUCUUGCUUCCAAACCUUAUCCCCCUUUAUCCACACCCUUCCUUAUGCUUGUAUGUGUCACGACUUAAACUGGAGGGUCAUGACUAGCACCCGGGCCAUACCUGCCGAGUACCAACGUACAUUUUAUCUAACCUUUCUUAUUAUUUAUAAGGGCCGACGAUAUCAACAUGAAUAGUAGACAUGAAUCAUGAGCAACCAACAAUGAUAUAUAAUGACAUGAACAUACAUAACAUGGGUCGACAAGGAUGUCAUGAAGAUAUAUAUAAGGUACGAGCUUCCAUGCUGCUAUGACAGACUAUACAACAAAAAUCAGCCGACAAGGCAGUCCAAACUAUACAUGAGUCAACACCUGUCUAUGAGCCUCUAAAGGAAAAUAAAUGCUAUAACAUUGCUGGAAUAGGGCCCCGACAUACCCAUAAUGUCUAUAACAAAAGUUCAUACCAAGACUAUGGCAAGUCUGGAUUAGGGAUCUCGCUAAUAACCGCUGAAUUGGGCAGCCUACUGUGGUGGGGGAGCUUUGCCUACCUGUCUAUCAGGACCUGCAGCACGAUAUGUAGUAUCCACAAAUAAAAGGGAUGCCAGUACGAAUAAAGUACUGAGUAUUUAAGGCAGGAAGGCGUAAAUAAGAACAGUAAUGUAAAUAGGGAUAGAAAAUAUACAGCCUGUAACAUAUGAGUACCUCUGAGGGCUAUUGACAUGCAUGAUACAUAUAUAUAUACAUAAACUUUUUAAAAUGUAUGCCUCUGUAGGCAUCAUCAUCGUAUCGUACCCGGCCAUAAUUGGCUUAGUAAAAACAUACCCGGCCAUUAUAAGGCUCGGUAAAAUCGUACCCGGUCAUGUGGAGCUCGAUAAAACCUAAUUGAUCAGUGGUUGCAUAAUAGGUAUCGUACCUAUCCGACUAUAUCGUGGCUCAGUAGAGUAAAAUAGGUACAUAUAUAGUGCAUACUAGACUCAUUGGAAUCACAUUCUGAACCUUUCGGAGUGAUGUAAGGUCAGUAACCUUCGUACACGUUAUUAGGACUAACUCUUCAUCAUGGAUCUUAUAAGAAUCAAGAAGUACCAACAACAUUGAUAACAUAAGAAUAAGAGAAGCAACAUCAACAUCAAUCGUUCCAUAAGAAGGGAAACAAUGUAAGUACUGCUAGUUUCUAAGAGUGAAGUAUCUUUAAAAGCUCGUUCAUUACAUUUUGUACAAUCGGAGUCAUUCAAAAGAAGAAGGAAAGGGAUAGCCUCACAUACCUUGUAUAUAUUACCCAACCUCAAGCUAUGCAAAUGUCACGACUCCCUAAUCUACAACAAGAGAAAUGACAAUGUCGUUAUCAUUUAAGCAUCGUAACUAUUACAUAUCGACCGCAACCUAUUUUACGAUGAACCAUACAAUACCUCCCCUAAUUAUAUGACUUCCCACGAGUUAAAACAAUCACGAAACAGCCCAAAAAACAUCAAUAAUAAUCAUAUUAAGCCUCCCAACAUAGUCCACCAACCAACAACAUACUAACAAGUCUUUCGAUAGAUAACUCACAAGUUUUAGCUUCAACGACUUAGCCUCAACAUGGAUAAUCUUAAAUACAUGUAGAGUAAGAGGUUACUUACCUUUAAAUGGAUAGAUAAAAUCCAAUUUGACCUUAAUUCACCACGAAAUAUCCUUCCAAUGCUGCCACAAGAACAAGGAAGCGAAACUAGGGUUUUCCGGCACUAGAAUCACUUUGGAAAACUUGAAAUCACCUAGGGUUGAUAUUAAAAACUUGAGGGAGUAUUUUACAGAACAUAAACCACUUAAAAAAACCUCCCAAGUGAGCUGGAACCACACAAAAAUCAGCAACAAGAAGAACAAGAAACUUACUAGCACCACGGGAUUUCGGACACUUGAUUUGUGUUGUUUGCCCUUUGUUUGGGUCUUGGAUCAUGAGAGAACCUUGAGAGAGUGUUUUUAGGUGUCUAGGGUCUGAUGAUAAUGAAAAGUAAAGAGUUAAAAGGGGGUUAAGGCAUCUCAUAUAUAUCAAUAUAUCUCAACCGCCUAUAUGGGCCCCAUAGAGAGCUACUUGUGAAGUCUCGCAAAAACGCGAAUAUCUCUCUACUCCGACAUCGUAUCGACGAAUGGUUUAAUGAGUUGAAAACUAGAAUCAUAGAUAUUCAACUUGGUGGGUAUAUCACCCCAUCAUUGCAAGAAAAUUUAGUAACAUUUGACCUAAAGUAUAAGUAAAAUUAUGUACGUAAGUUGCGACAACUUCUGUCGACUUUUGUUUCAUAACUCGUUUGACUUCAAAACAUAUGAUACGGAUAUUAUAUGAUUCAAAUACCUUAAAAACGACCUCUUGAGAAUAUUAAGAACCUCUAGUUUUACCCAAAAAUAUGGGUUACAACAUCCUUGAUUUGUUUAACUUCUAAUACUUGUUAACCACUCUUAUACACUCUUGUAUCAUUUAAGGCCAAUAUGAUUAACUUCUUAUCAUCUCAAAGAUAAUCGCUUUUCGUAUUUAUGUCGACUAACUUACGGUGUGAUCUAACAUACAUGAAUAUGGGUUGUAACAGUAUAGAUAUGAUAAAGAGAUUACAAGAUUUCUUAGCCAUGAAGCUCUUUCCAAAACUUGAGCUAUAAGGAGAAAGGCGGACUUCAAAGUCUUAUCUAUGUCAUAAGGAUCGUGUUUAUGUGUUCACUUCUUGAUUUUGAGUUGCGGAUGAUGGACUUGCUUCAAAACCCUAAGGAACAUCUUGGAGAGCUAUGGAAGCUCUACUUGGGCGUGAAUUUUUUGCAAAUAGAGGAAAAAGAAGGCUAAGUCUUCUAUUUAUAGUAAGGUUGAAAAGUCAACCACAUGUGCUUCACCGGCCCUUCUUCCGAUGCCCAUAUCUCUUUAUCCAGACGUCGUAUAAAUGAGCGGUCGAGAGAGUUGGAAACUAACUUACAUGACCUUAAAUUUGGUAUAUAAUAUGUCCCCGAAAUAACUCAUAUAACACACAAAAUUAAUUGCUCAAAAAACUUUGUUACAAGGCAAAUCCUUAAUCGAUUCUUCCGCAACUUAAAUCUGAUUUUUUCCAAACUUUAUAUUCUAUAUUCAAACAUCAUAUAUAGUAAUAUUAUAACUUUAAAAUCAUUUAAAUCAUGCUUAAAAAUUCAUUUACACAAUAUACGACAUCACAUAUGUAUGGGGUGUGACAAUCUCCCAAUCUUAAGAACAUUCGUCCUUGAAUAUUGACUGAGGUAUACAAAAGCAUUAAGCAAUGAUCCAUUACAUACAUGGAGUAGUGAAGAGGUGUGGAUAUAUGGCUCUCAUAUCCUUCUUAGCUUCCCAAGUCAUCUCUUCCACAUUAUUGCUUCGUCCUCAACCGACGAACCUGCUGAUCUAAAAUGGCAACUAGUACCUCCUCAUAAGUUAAUUGCUUGGUGAUCUGUACAUCAUCAACUAGUACUACUCUAGAAGGAUCUCCAAUACACGUCCGAAGCAUGGAGACAUAAAACACUAGAUGUACCUCUUGAAGGUCUGCUGGAAGGUCCAACUCGUAUGUUACACGACCAGCUCGUGUGAUGAUCAGGUAUGGACAUAUAUACCUAGGGCUAAGCUUUCCCUUUUUUCAGAACCUUAUAACACCUUUCAUAGGUGACACCUUCAGGAACACCUAAUCAUCAACUUGGACUUCUAGAUCUCAGUAUCGAUUGUCUGCAUAUGAAUUCUGUCAACUUUGGGUUGCUAGCAAUCUCUCCCUAAUCAGCUUAACCUUAUCCACUUCUUGUUGGAUCAUAUAUGGGCCUAUAAGUUGAUACUCACAAACUUCAAACCAUCCUAUGGGUGAUUUGCACUUACGCCCAUACAAAGCUUCAUAAGGUGUCAUUUUUAUGAUGGAAUGAUAACUAUUGUGGUAUGCAAACUCUAUCAACGGUAAGUGUUCAUCCCAGCUACCUUUGAAAUCUAACAUACAUGCCCUUAACAUGACCUCGAGCAUCCAUAUGAUUCGCUUGACCUGUCCAUCUAUCUAGGGAUGAAAAGUUGUACUCAAAUUCAAUUGCUAGAAGUUAGCUGUAAACUGUGCGCCUCUACCUGAAAUGAUAGAUAUUGGAACGCUUUGGAGAUGUACAAUCUCCCUGAUAUAAAAUCAGGCUUAAUCUUCUAUUGUAUAGGUAGUGCUAACAAGCAAGAAAUAAGUUGAUUUAGUAAGCCUGAUGACUAUAACCCAAAUAGAAUCAUACCUGCUCCUCGUACGUGGCAGUCAUGUAAUAAAGUCCAUAUUUACUACUUCUCACUUCCAUGUUGGGAUCUUUAUCUCUUGUAACAAAUCGCUAGGCUUCUGGUGCUCAAACUUAGCAUGCUGGCAGCUAGGACACUAGGCCACAAACUCUACUAUGUCACAUUUCAUUCCACCCCACCAAUAAAUCUGCUUAAGAUCAUGGUACAUCUUAGUAGAGCCUGGAUGAAUUGUGUACCUGGAAUGAUGUUCCUCUACCAUAAUUUUCAUGCGUAACCCUGCAGCGUCUGGAACAAAGAGCCUAUCUUUAUAUCUGAGGACUCUUUUACUAGUAACUAUGUAAGGAGACUUUUUAUUUUUCCUGGCUACCAUACUGUACUUAAUUAGAACUGGAUCUUCAUAUUACCUCUAUUUCACUUCGGUCACUAAACAAGUGGUAGUCGUAUUCUGAACUAUAACUUUUGCAUCCUCUAAAUCUAUCAAUUUAAUACCCAAACUGGCUAACUGAUGGAGUUUAUGAGCUAACUCCCUUUUUUUAGGCUGAAAGCAAGCUAAACUCCCCAUGGACUUAUGACUGAGAGCAUCAACUACAACACUAACUUUACCUGGAUGAUAAAGAAUGUCAACGUCGCAGUCCUUUAGAAGCUCUAACCACUUUCUUUGCUGCAAGUUCAACUCCUUCUAUUUAAUUAUGUACUGGAGGCUCUUAUGAUAUGUAUAGAUAUCAACAUUAAUGCCAUAGAGAGAGUGCCUUCAAAUCUUCAGUGCUUGAAUAAUCGCUGCUAGCUCCAAGUUAUGUGUAGGAUAAUUCUGUUGUGCUUCUUCAAUUGUCUAGAAGCAUAAGGAAUUACCUUUUUGUGAUGUAUCAGCACAUAACCUAGGCCAAUUCGAGAAGCGUCACAAUAAAUAACAUAACCCUCAGAUCCCUCUAGAAGUGUAAGAACCGGAGUUGUAAUCAACCUGUUCUUCAACUCCUGCAAACUCUUCUCACAUUCAUCUAACCACUGAAAUUUGGAUGCUUUCUGUGUUAAUCUAGUCAAUGGCGCUGCAAGGGAAGAAAAGCCUUCUACGAACCUCUUGUAAUACCCUGCUAAACCCAAAAAGCUACGUACUUCGAUUGGCGUUAUAGGUCUAGGCCAAUUCUUCAUUGUCUCUAUCUUCUGACCAUCUACUUUGAUGCCCUCUGAUGAUAUAUAUGUCCAAGAAAUGCUACCGAAUUCAACUAGAAUUUGCACUUCAAGAAUUUGGCAUACAAUUUCUUGUCUCGGAGGAUACCCAACAUUAUGCGCAGAUGCUUCAGACUUGGAAUAAACCAGAAUAUCAUCAAUAAACACUAUCACUAAUAGGUCCAGAUAAGGCCUAAACAUGUUGUUCAUAAGAUCCAUAAAUACCGCUAGGACAUUAGUCAACCCAAACGACAUUACUAGAAACUCGUAAUAGCCAUAUUGGGUUCUGAAUGAUGUCUUAGGUAUCUCACAUUCUCUGACUCUAACCUAAUGGUAGCCUGAUCUCAAGUCUAUCUUCGAGAAGAACUUAGCACCCUGAAGGUAGUUGAACAAGUCAUCAAUUCUGGGAAGAGGACAUUUGUUCUUGAUCAUGACCUUGUUUAGUUGUUUGUAAUCUAUGCACAUACGUAGGGAGCCAUCUUUUUUUCGCAAAUAAUAUUGAUGCUCACCAAGGAGAAGUAUUGGGUCUAAUAAAACCCAUAUCAAACAAAUCUUUCAACUGCUCCUUAAGUUCCUUUAAUUCUGUUGGUGUCAUCCUGUAAGGAGGAAUAGAUAUUGGUUGCUUACCCGACACUAUAUCGAUGGGAAAGUCAAUUUCCCACUAUGGAUAAAGACCUGGAAGAUUAUACGGAAAUACGUUAGGGAACUCAUUCACUAGUGGAACUGAUUCAAGAGUCAGUAUUCCCUUCUCUAUGUCUCAAACAUGAACCCAUGAUAUAAGCAUCCCUUAGCGAUCAUCCCUCUUGCCUUAAGGUACAAAAUAAAUCUACCUUUUAGUGAUGCAGAAACACCAUUCUAUAAAUGACCCUUCUAGGAAAUCUAAACGAGACCGUCUUCGCUCUACAGUCAACAUUAGCAUAGCAAGAAGACAACCAAUCCAUACCAAGUAUAACAUCAAAGUCAACUAUUUCUAACUUAAUAAAGUCAGCUAUAGUACUAGGGUCACCAAUCACAACCGUGAAACCUCUAAAAACUAGCCUAGCUACUAUUGAAUCACCAACUGGGGUGGCUACCUCAAAAGGUUUAAUGGCAUCUAGUUCUAUCCUAAACUUAGUAGCAAGAAAGGGAGUGACAUAUGAUAGUGUAGAACCAGGAUCUAACAAUACAUACACAUUCUGAGAAUUCACUUAUAAAGUACCUAUAACCACUCUAGUGAAGCCUCCUAGUCCUGACGACCAAACAGAGAGUAGGUGCGGUUCUGGGGACCGCCUGUAGUAAGAGUUCCGCCUCGGCCUCUACCAUGGUCUGCUAGUGUCUGAGGAACUUGCCCUUGCAAGCGUGCUGGUGCUGAAGAAGCUGCAACUAAUCUUGCCGACUGAGAUGCACCAUUACCACCCCUAAACGAGCAUUCUCUCAUAAAAUGACCUGACUCACCACAAACAUAACAUGCAUCUUAACCCAAUUGAAAUCGGUCCAAAUAGUGUCUACCACAAUCAAAACACCUAGGGUAAAGUGAACCACCCUGACUAGAAACACCUCGAUACUAGGACCUUGAAGCACGUGAUUCCUGACUAGCUCUAGACUAUGAGGGUCAAUUAGAUCUCGGCCCCUAAAAUCGUGAAGGAGUACUAGCUGCUGUCGACGUAACAACUAUAUUGUCUAGAAGCACCAGAUGUCUCACCAAAAGAAUACUUGCAAUGUCCACACUCGACUGAAUACGUCCAAUGUCCACACUCAAAUGCAUAGAUACAGUCAUAUAUUCACUUACUAAGUGAGGACCAAGUCUUGCUACACAUGUGUACCAUGUCCUCCAUGUCUGAUACAACUGCAAGAGCAAACCUCUCCAAAGAAUUAAAGCAAAGGUUCAAUUCUGCAAUACUCAUACCCCCUGUCUCAAUGUCAGGAACUUAUCCAAUCAUGCUCUACGUGUCUCUAUAGGUAAGUAAUGGUGGAGAAAUGCCUCUAAUAACUCCCUACAGGUAAUUGGAGCAGUAUUUGCUACCCUAGACAUCUCCCAGUGGUAUAUCAACCUGCUGCUAGAUCUUGUAAUCUAUAUGCCACCAAUUCAACUGACUUUCUAUAUAUGGCAUGCAUAACUCUAAGGGCUCUAACUACUCUAUCUAGAAAAUUUUGGGGAUCCUCUGUUGUACUAGAUCUCGUGAAAAUUGGAGGCUCUAAUAUGAGGAAAUCAAGAAUCAUAGAACUUGUAUCAUCACCCUGAGGACCAUUAUUCUACCAUCUGGACUGGGUAGCUACAAUUCUAGUUAACAAUCUAACUACAUCCCUCAUGUCGAAGUAGACGGAGGUGUGGUAGCUGGAGCACCACCUAACUUCUCCCUAAACAAACAUAGUCCAUGAAGCUCUGGAUGGAACCUCAUGUCUGGAUCCUUAUGCUCAUCUAACUUAGGUGGUACUCUGCUAGAACCCUGGCCAGCAAUGGUUUUGCCCUUCAAGGCAGUUGUGAAUCUCUUUGGAGGAAUCCCUACAUAUAAAAUAUUUCAUUAGAAGGCUGAAUUCUUAUAACAUAGCUCAAUCGCACAAUCUAGAGAAGAAGGAAGGACAACCAUUCUAUAAUGCCCUGCAGCCUCAUGUUCAUAAGUAUGGUGUGCAACUUACUCUUGAAUAAGACUCCACUAUACAUGGCUUGUAGACACCCAAGGACUGAACUGCUCUAAUACCAUGUUUGUCACGACCUACCUAGGGCCGCGAAGGAUAACCGACACUAAGUACUGAUCAUCACUAAACCUGCUAAUAAUCUACUAAUCAUGAAUUUAACUGAUAAACUAAACAAGCAUAAACAUAAUUGAUAAGAACAGUACAAUUUUGUAGCCAACAAGGCUAACACAAGCUGACAUAUAAAAACAUACUAACUGCACAGGUGCAUAUCUACAUGCCUCUAGGAGUGCUGAACUAAAUAAGUAUUGGACGGAACAAGGUCACUCCAUACCCAAACUAGUUGAAUGUACACAUACAAAGAGAUAACUUACUCCCGGAGUAAGCAGCGUGACUCCAAUAGCUGGUGGAUGUCCUACUGAUGUGGCUCAAGCGUUGAUUUAUCUGUACCUGCACGACAAGAAACGAAACACCUCAGAAGGGACGUGAGUACAAUAUGUACAAAGUAUGUAGGAUGGAAAGCAUACUAAAGUAUGAAUAUACGCUGGAAAUCUAAAUAUAAGCUGGAAGCUAAACAAGAGUCUGAACUAGCAACUAAUCUAGAACUAAACUGAAGUUUAAGUUGAAACUAUGCUGAAAUUGAACUACUAUCUGAACUGGUACCUGACUGGAGUUAUCCUCUAUAUCCCCCAAUAAGGUAACUGUACAUCUGAACUGGCCUCCGAUAUCGUCGUGCAAUACAAACUGUAACUAUAUACACGUAUAUAACAUGCCUGACUGGCGUUAUGCGCUAUAUCCCCUAGCAGAUAAAUAGGACUGGUUGGUGUUAUGGGC